CCCUAGAGGUAACACACUCCCCGGCCCGUCUGGCGUAGAGCCAAUCGACCAGUAGUGACCGGCUUGGGCAUUUUGCACCUUUUAAAUACAGCGCCAGUUGGCGACCGCAUGGUUACGUCAUCGCUCGGAAACCCUGGCAGCCCUUAAAUUUCAGGUAUCACCCCAUGGGUCCAUCACUCCAGAGUUAAAAAGGCCAACUCAGAGGAACCCUCAACCUGGUACAGUGAUCCAGAUCCAAUCAACCUGCUUAAACUGACCCUCAAAAAGACACUGUCCCCUGAGGUCUCCAGCCCUGCUCCAGCCACACCCCGGAAGCUGGCUGGCCUGCGCACGGCAGAAGCUUGAGGAAUCAACGUGUGGACCGAGCCUAGGGGGUUGGAUGCAACUCUCCCAGCCCUUACCCCUUACUGGUGUCAUAGCCCUGAUCUUGCUUCUUGCUGUUAGGCUAAUAGAGACUGCAUCAGCAAACCGGACAAAAGAUGAAUGUUGGGUCUCACAUACCUCCUCUGAAUGGGAGGACUAUUAAGUAUUGCCUGUAUAUUAUGUUAACCUCUCUCACCCUCACGACUGCCACAUACCCACCUUGCCCCCAGGAUUGUUAUAAGACAAUAAGGACAGUAGCCCAUGGUAUCAGGAAUGCAAGGGCAUUCAGCUCCCUCACCUCCCUCCACAAAGAUUGUUAUAAGGGAAAGACACCCACCCUCUGCCAGUCGCCAGAUGCCCAAGCACAUAAGUUUUGGACCGUAGAAAUAACCCAAAAUAGCAGAAGCCCAUGUAACAAACAGAGUCUCCAGAAAGGAAAGCAAGUCUGCUAUACAUAUCUUCCCCAACUAGGGACAUCGGACGGGGGAGGAGUGCAAGAUAGGGCCCUUCAAAAGGUCAUAAAGGAUACCUGGACCAGGCUAAUACAAGCUGUAAAGGCAACCACUCCCCAGCAUCCUACCAGGGUUUAAACCUUUAAGCCCUUAAUUAAGUGCUUACCAAUUCCCAGCUCCCAACGCUGGGCCAACACUAUAAGUCCUUCACAAAGUGAAUAACCACACCCAAACCUGCUAGAUGUGCUUGCCUCUCAGCCGGAGGACUGACUUAGCCACUCCUAUCCCCUUGGCCUGGGAAGCUUCUGACAAUCUCACAACCAACACCACUUGUCUUGAUUGGACCCUUGACCACUGGGGUCCUUCUCACGAAUGCUGAUAAUCUAACUUGUACGGUCCCUGAAGGUAUGAAUGGCACUUCCCUAUGUGGGAGAAAUAUAACCUUAAAAAAGAAUACAACCCUAUGCUCAACCCCUGGGGUAUUCUA
Long non-coding RNA from Felis catus (domestic cat), 1302 nucleotides. RefSeq lists it as uncharacterized. NCBI's taxonomy places the organism in Eukaryota, Metazoa, Chordata, Mammalia, Carnivora, Felidae. The record is from RefSeq and is a predicted model, not a curated record. The transcript is spliced from 2 exons.